Molecule: long non-coding RNA, 441 nt
Filed under: Gallus gallus (chicken)
Lineage: Eukaryota; Metazoa; Chordata; Aves; Galliformes; Phasianidae
Source: RNAcentral
AGACCAGAAAGCUGCAUUUUUACAGAAUGAGCAUUAAAGACAGCUUAAUACAAGUGACAACAGAAAACAGUAACUUUCAUCAAAUUGCUUUUGCAUCUGGCGCCUGUCUUCUACGUUGCCAAAUAUAUGCACUCCUGCAUGAUGGGUGAGUCUUGCCAAAUCCUUCUGAACUUGUUUUACUUAAUUUUUUUUCCUCUGACAUUUGAAAAAUUUCCAAUUUGCUUUCCUAUUGGCUACAUCCUGCAUCAUAAUUUUUGUGGACUGUUCCCUUGCCCCGCACAUCCCCUAAAUCAUGAAUUAUUCAACCACUCUACUUAAAAAACAUUAUCUGUAUUUUUAGUCCAGAGAACAUUAAAUGCUGCUAUGACAUCAGUCAGUUAACUUUAUUGUGCUGUCCUCAGAACCAUAAACGAACUGGAUUUCAGAUGCAGACAGACCUGC